This 592-nucleotide ribosomal RNA is filed under the name Mesocriconema curvatum. Its description in RNAcentral is "SSU rRNA". It matches the Rfam family "Eukaryotic small subunit ribosomal RNA", at positions 1024 to 1643 of the family's 1831-position model. The record is from RNAcentral. Lineage: Eukaryota; Metazoa; Nematoda; Chromadorea; Rhabditida; Criconematidae.
UUCUGACCGUAAACGAUGCCAACUAGCGAUUCGGCGGUGGCUACAAGGCCCUGCUGAGGAGCUUCCCGGAAACGAAAGUCUUCCGGUUCCGGGGGAAGUAUGGUUGCAAAGCUGAAACUUAAAGGAAUUGACGGAAGGGCACCACCAGGAGUGGAGCCUGCGGCUUAAUUUGACUCAACACGGGAAAACUCACCCGGCCCGGACACCGUAAGGAUUGACAGAUUGAUAGCUUUUUCAUGAUUCGGUGGUUGGUGGUGCAUGGCCGUUCUUAGUUCGUGGAUCGAUUUGUCUGGUUUAUUCCGAUAACGAGCGAGACUCCAGCCUACUAACUAGUACGAGCAUUGCCUCUGUGCUCGGCACUUCUUAGAGGGAUUGACUGCGUCUAGCGGUACGAAACGGAGCAAUAACAGGUCUGUGAUGCCCUUAGAUGUCCGGGGCUGCACGCGCGCUACACUGGCAAAGGCAACGUGCUUGUCCGUCUCCGAAAGGAGCCGGUAAACCCUUGAAAAUUUGCCGUGAUUGGGAUCGGAAAUUGCAAUUAUUUUCCGUGAACGAGGAAUUCCUAGUAAGUGCGAGUCAUCAGCUCGCGUUG